GAGGCAGCAGUGGGGAAUAUUGCACAAUGGGCGAAAGCCUGAUGCAGCCAUGCCGCGUGUGUGAAGAAGGCCUUCGGGUUGUAAAGCACUUUCAGUUGUGAGGAAAGGUGGGUAGUUAAUAGCUGUUCACUGUGACGUUAGCAACAGAAGAAGCACCGGCUAACUCCGUGCCAGCAGCCGCGGUAAUACGGAGGGUGCGAGCGUUAAUCGGAAUUACUGGGCGUAAAGCGUGCGUAGGCGGUUUGUUAAGC
Molecule: ribosomal RNA, 251 nt
Filed under: Colwellia sp. BRX10-1
Lineage: Bacteria; Pseudomonadati; Pseudomonadota; Gammaproteobacteria; Alteromonadales; Colwelliaceae
Description: partial 16S ribosomal RNA
Rfam family: Bacterial small subunit ribosomal RNA
Source: RNAcentral